AUGGAAUAAUUUUAGGCGGUUAGUUUAAUUCUACUUUAUCUUUUAAAAGCAUGUUAUUUAGAACUUUAGUAUAACUACCAUUGCUAUUUUAUAGUUGUUAUAGAUCAUAAGCAUUUGCAUUGCUUCAUAUUGUUUUGUGAUUUUAGUGAGAUUUUGGCCGUUGGAUCAGUGUGAUUGAGUGUGGAGAUUUCAUAUGGGGAUAUAAUUUGUAAUCAUGGAAUGUGGUCUACUGCAAAUGUCAUGUGCUUUGGAGUUAUAGUGUUGUUAGAUUUUUUUGAGGGGCAUGUGUUGUUCCGUUUGCUGUUUGCUGCAUAAAGUAGUUCAUUUUUUUUCUCUCCAUAAUAUUAGUAUAAAGUAUCAACCGUUGCUUAACAAUGAUUAAUCUGCAUUGAAAAACAUGUAGGGCGUAUAAGGUAGGUUCUCCCUUCGUAUCAAAUUUUUUCAUACGCAUAAGCUAUGAAUUAAACACUGAUCAUAUAUUUAAUUAGUCUAAAUUUCUUACCACUUGGACCAAUCAUUGUUGGUAAGCAAUGCAAUCUUUAACUUUCUUAAUUUUAUGCAUUCAAUGUUAUUUUGUUUGGUGGUGACAUUCAAUGUUAUUUAAACAAAACCCAUAAAUUUCACUUAUAUAUUCCACUUCUUUCAUCUCAAACUUGUAACCUUGCACUCACUUCCAAUUUUCUUUCACUCAUUCCCUUACUCACAAACAAAACCGUAAUUGUUUUUUCUUCAUUUAUUUUACUCAAUUAUUUCUCAUCGACUCUUUCAACUCUAUCAUAUUCAACUUCAUCUAUCAUUUAUCUCCCUCUCACCAGUCUUACAAAUUUAUACCCAUGUGGUAUUUUUCUUAAACCUUUUUUCUCAAGUAUGGAGGAGCCUCACGACAAAGAGAACACAACACCGUUGGAGGCAAGUGUGCAAUGACCGUCAAGGUUGCAACCUUGGGCAUGGGUGGAAUCGGUAAACAGCUUGUUUGGAAACAACAUCCUUGAGAGGAUAUAUGCAAGUGUACUCGGCUUCUCGUUUUACAUGGAAAUGACACAUGCUUAAAUACUAACCCUGCAAGGAGAAAGAAGAGGGUUGAAGAUGGUGCAGACAAAAUGUGUUUGGGAGUCUCACUAUGAUGCUCAGGUUAAGAAGAAUUUUCAUUACCGAGCUCAACACCGUUUUUCAGAUAUGAUGUUAACAUUAAGAUGAAAACAUGCUAAAAAGCCUGAAUGGAUAUUCCAAAGUGGAUAGCAGCUCAACACAUUUGAUUUACCUUUGUUUAUUGGUUCCUAGUAUGUGAUACUCCAAAUAAUAUACUUUGUUUGUGUAUAUUUCAGUAGGACCAAAUGAUUAAUAUUCCUUAAGUAUAUUUCUGUUUGUUGGGUCAAAGGCUUAUCGUGUUGUACUGCCAAAUUCAUGUAGUACGAAUCCCAUCCGUGUAAUUUUUUGAAAAAUGUUGCUUGAUUGAACUUGAAUUUAAA
Molecule: long non-coding RNA, 1469 nt
Organism: Medicago truncatula (barrel medic)
Lineage: Eukaryota; Viridiplantae; Streptophyta; Magnoliopsida; Fabales; Fabaceae
Exons: 2
Source: RefSeq, a predicted model, not a curated record